RNAcentral lists this ribosomal RNA (571 nucleotides) under Shiraia sp. JP185. RNAcentral describes it as "eukaryotic LSU rRNA". It matches the Rfam family "Eukaryotic large subunit ribosomal RNA", at positions 62 to 648 of the family's 3401-position model. Lineage: Eukaryota; Fungi; Ascomycota; Dothideomycetes; Pleosporales; Shiraiaceae. The record is from RNAcentral.
AAACCAACAGGGAUUGCCCUAGUAACGGCGAGUGAAGCGGCAACAGCUCAAAUUUGAAAUCUGGCUCUUUUAGAGUCCGAGUUGUAAUUUGCAGAGGGCGCUUUGGCGUCGGCAGCGGUCCAAGUUCUUUGGAACAGGACGUCACAGAGGGUGAGAAUCCCGUACGUGGUCGCUAGCCUUCGCCGUGUAAAGCCCCUUCGACGAGUCGAGUUGUUUGGGAAUGCAGCUCUAAAUGGGAGGUAAAUUUCUUCUAAAGCUAAAUACUGGCCAGAGACCGAUAGCGCACAAGUAGAGUGAUCGAAAGAUGAAAAGCACUUUGGAAAGAGAGUCAAAUAGCACGUGAAAUUGUUGAAAGGGAAGCGCUUGCAGCCAGACUUGCCUGUAGUUGCUUAUCCAGACUUCUGUCUGGUGCACUCUUCUGCAGGCAGGCCAGCAUCAGUUUGGGCGGUUGGAUAAAGGUCUCUGUCACGUACCUCUCUUCGGGGAGGCCUUAUAGGGGAGACGACAUGCAACCAGCCUGGACUGAGGUCCGCGCAUCUGCUAGGAUGCUGGCGUAAUGGCUGUAAGCGGC